AAAGGCCUCAUUCAGCAUGUGCAAAAGCACGUCCAUUUAUAGAGGCUUAGGACCUCGAGAAGCAUUUUUUGGAAUAACAGAUAAGGCUACCAGGGCUGGAUUUUUUGUUUAAAUAAUUGUAAUUUCUUCUGAUUUUUUAGACUAUUUUUGAAUUUCUUUUUCUUUUUUUUUGCAUGGCGGCUCAUUAGAGAUGUUAUGUAAUGAUUGCAACAGAACCUGAAACCMCUGGAAACUCGCAGGUUUUAUUGCAAACUUGAAAUUCAAUCCAGGUUCAUCAAAGGUUUGCUGUGAUUCCAAAUCCUUUCCAGCCAACAUGUGGCAAUUGAUAGGUUUGCCUGUAACCCCCGCGAGCCCUCAGGUUUUCCUAGCAAAAACAGGCAAAAUGCAGCAGUUUGCAGUAUAUGGCACCAAAGUWCGUGAACACAUGGAAGAAGAAACAUUGACCUCUGGAAGGCUGGGCGCUUUGUUUGGGUGCAGUGGCUGGACACCCACGUGUGCUCAGUGCAGAACGAAGUGCGCCAGCGAACACUGGCUCCUUGUUCAGCCUCCGAGGAGGAGGGGAGCAGUGUGUGGAGGAUCUUGACGCCUGGUGCCGCAGGAAGGAUGGGCCACAUACUGAUCCCAAGUAAACAGGAAAUUCUGCUGAGUGAGAUCCCUCCUCACAUUCCCAUUAAAUAGCAACAAAUGGGWUUUGGAUUGCCCUUUCUUCUCUUGACUGGAGAGUUCAAGCUUGAGAAGCACAGGAGAAAAGCGUGCAGCUCCACUUGUUCCUCCACGUAUGUAUCUGUUGAGCUAUCACACAUAUUUCAUUCCAGGUCUCCUUCUAAAAUAUCUGGCACCGAGACAAAUACUUCAACUGACGUAUCAGGUUGGAGAUCAUUUUUAUGUCAUAGGACAUGAAUGGAUUUAUUUUUGUUCCAGCUUUUACAUUUUUAGAGCUCUAAAUGUUU
Molecule: long non-coding RNA, 950 nt
Organism: Nothoprocta perdicaria
Lineage: Eukaryota; Metazoa; Chordata; Aves; Tinamiformes; Tinamidae
Exons: 2
Source: RefSeq, a predicted model, not a curated record